GGGCGCAUAGCUCAGUUGGCAGAGCAGCUGACUCUUAAUCAGCGGGUCGUAGGUUCGAGUCCUACUGCGCCCACCA
RNAcentral lists this transfer RNA (76 nucleotides) under Alphaproteobacteria bacterium. RNAcentral's name for it is "tRNA-Lys". It matches the Rfam family "tRNA". Rfam says of the family: Transfer RNA (tRNA) molecules are approximately 80 nucleotides in length. The record is from RNAcentral. Lineage: Bacteria; Pseudomonadati; Pseudomonadota; Alphaproteobacteria. RNAcentral also lists the same sequence under 6 other names.